Long non-coding RNA from Columba livia (rock pigeon), 1338 nucleotides. RefSeq lists it as uncharacterized. The record is from RefSeq and is a predicted model, not a curated record. The transcript is spliced from 3 exons. NCBI's taxonomy places the organism in Eukaryota, Metazoa, Chordata, Aves, Columbiformes, Columbidae.
CCACCCAACUGCUACUCCCUGUGACACGGCCACCACGGUCCUUCCUGCUGACCUUCAACAGCCACACAAGGGAAAAACAGAAACUCCUGAAGACAUAAACACUGCCAAACUGCAGUCACUUGCAGACACUUACCAUUGAUAAGCAAGACAGAAAGAAACCAGUUUGAUGUUUUUGGUCUAAAUGUAUCAAAAUUGCACACAAAAGGCACAACAAGCCAAACGACACCAUAUGAACCUUUUUCUUCAUUGCAUUUUCAGAUGCCAUAAGCAAACCAGGAUUUGAUACCACAUUAAUCAGAGCUUUAUAAAUGCAACAGAAAAAAAACAACAUGCAGGUGAAUGAUCACUUCAGCAGACGGACAAAUGAAACUAUUAAAACUUUUUUAGGAACGUUAUUUAAUUUGCUGACUCCAAUCAGUCACUGCAGGAGCGGAGUGUUGGUAGCCCUUACUUGGAAUAAAUAUACUUGAUUUUUUUUCUUUUUUUAAUACAUUUCAGAGGGUGUUUCUUCAGCUUUCUGGUAGAGCAGACUUAAUAACAGAGAUGUAUGCAUGCCAUGGUAGACCAGCAUGCAGAACUUUAAUUACAGCUAUAUCAAUUUUAGACCCUCAAAUCUUGUUAAAAAUACCAUUACAUUAGAAAAGCUUCAUUGCAUCGAUUGUGUAGCUAUUCCUUUAUAUUUUGGAAUGCAUUUGUUAAAGGUGACACCAUUUAUCUCCAUGUUCUAGUUCAUCAACAUGUUCCAGAAUUUUUUUUAAUAACCUCAAAUGUGUAGCAUCGUAUCUUAAAAUCCUAAUUAAAGAGCUGGUUUAUGCCAGCAAAGAAAUUAAAAAGCAUGAGCUUUCAUGCAUAAUCAUUAGGAAACUGGGUAAAAAAUUCCAUCAAAUACUUGCACAGGUUUAGACUUCUAAUGCACAAAACACUUCCUGUAUUGACUUCUUUGAAUGUCCUAAACAUUUGCAAUCCAAUAAUUUUCAUUUUAAAGGCUGCAACUUUUUUAAAGGAAAAGAUAGAUCCCUUUUUAGUAGCAGCCUGAUUCAAAACAUCUCUAAAGGAAACUCUUCUUGGAGAUAGAAUUGUAAAGGGCUGAUAUGUACCUGGGAAUGUAAAUAAGCUUUGUCUUUACUGAGCAUGGAUUUCCCUGCAACAAGUGCAGAUUAGUGGACCAGCAAGCAUUUGCCUGUGUAAAGGAUAAUGGAAAUAGAAGUUGCCCAUUUAGUUAAGUAUUAGCAUUUUCCCAAGCAAUUUUACAAUGUCAGUCAUCGCACUAAGACUAGGACUUCUACCACAAGAAUUGAUUGCCUUCAAGGUGACUAAGUCACAGUAGAGAAAAAUAAA